UCCCUAUAGUUGAAGCCAUUCCACAGGAGCUUUUCACGCUUCCGGUUUGGGUUAAACUCCCGAUAGGGAU
RNAcentral lists this transfer RNA (70 nucleotides) under Mithrodia clavigera. Its description in RNAcentral is "tRNA-Glu". Lineage: Eukaryota; Metazoa; Echinodermata; Asteroidea; Spinulosida; Mithrodiidae. The record is from RNAcentral.